RNAcentral lists this small RNA (348 nucleotides) under Oryza sativa Japonica Group (Japanese rice). RNAcentral's name for it is "sRNA Os04g0635350". The record is from RNAcentral. Lineage: Eukaryota; Viridiplantae; Streptophyta; Magnoliopsida; Poales; Poaceae.
GACCGCAGCGCGUAGUUCCAGCGGCAGAGUCCGCCCUGGUCCUUGAGCGCCUCCACGGCGCCCACGCUCAUCGCCACCAUCCACGACGCCUUCGCUGCACCCGCCAUUGAUCGAGCUCUCUUCUUUCUUGCUAAGAUCGACCGGAUUGUCCUGUGGUUUCUUGCUCCUGAUUUGGUUUGCAGUAGAGUUGUUGCAAUGCUGAGUAGUUGAUGCUGUGCUGGUGAGAAAGAGGGAACUCGGGUUAUAUAGAGGAGGGUGUGGAGAGGAGAACGACGGGUUGGGCGAAACAAGGAGGCGCCGCGCGUUGGUUUCCCAGGAUACCGGGUGCUUUGCUCUGCUUGAUUACGC